RNAcentral lists this unclassified non-coding RNA (298 nucleotides) under uncultured Exophiala. Its description in RNAcentral is "sequence contains ITS2". Lineage: Eukaryota; Fungi; Ascomycota; Eurotiomycetes; Chaetothyriales; Herpotrichiellaceae. The record is from RNAcentral.
AACGCACAUUGCGCCCUUUGGCAUUCCGAAGGGCAUGCCUGUUCGAGCGUCAUUAUCACCUCUCAAGCCCCCAUUUCUUCAUUGAAACCGGCUUGGUGUUGGACGGUUUGGUGACGGCGAUGUCACCCCUCCCAAAGACAAUGACGGCGGCUUCGUGAGACCCCCGGUACACUGAGUUCCUCACCGAACACGUACUGGACAAAGGGUAGACGAGGCCCCGGUCGACCUCUCUUCACAGGGAGACUACUUUUUUAACAAGGUUGACCUCGGAUCAGGUAGGAAUACCCGCUGAACUUAA